GAUGAACGCUGGCGGCGUGCCUAAUACAUGCAAGUCGAGCGAACGGACGAGAAGCUUGCUUUUCUGAUGUUAGCGGCGGACGGGUGAGUAACACGUGGAUAACCUACCUAUAAGACUGGGAUAACUUCGGGAAACCGGAGCUAAUACCGGAUAAUAUUUUGAACCGCAUGGUUCAAAAGUGAAAGACGGUCUUGCUGUCACUUAUAGAUGGAUCCGCGCUGCAUUAGCUAGUUGGUAAGGUAACGGCUUACCAAGGCAACGAUGCAUAGCCGACCUGAGAGGGGUUUGAGCCACGCUGGGACUGAUGCACGGUCCAGACUCCGACGGGAGGCAGCAGUGGGGUAUCUUCCGCAAUGCGCUGAAGCGUGAGGGAGCAACGCGGCGUGAGUGAUGAUGGUCUACGGGUCGUAGAAGCCUCUUAUUUGGGAAUAACAUAUGUGUGAGCUGCUGUGCACAUCUUGACGGUAACUGAUUAUAUGGCCACGGCAUUCUUCGUG
Molecule: ribosomal RNA, 497 nt
Filed under: uncultured bacterium
Lineage: Bacteria
Description: partial 16S ribosomal RNA
Rfam family: Bacterial small subunit ribosomal RNA
Source: RNAcentral